GAAAAAUUCAUACAGGUUUUACUAUUUUGUCUAGUUUGCUAAAUAAUGACUAGCUUUGAAUGUUGAUUAUGCGUUAUGUUGCUGGAAUGAACAUCAGUUGGUCAUGAGUAUUCUUUUUAUAUAUUGCUGGGUUUGAUUUGAUAAAUUUUGUUGAGAUUUUGGUGUCUAUGUAAUCAAACAUAUUUAACUAAUUUGGAAUUAGGGUAAAGUUAGCUUCAUAAAAUGAGUUUGGAAAUGUUCCUAUUUAUAUAUUUUGGAGAAAACUACAUAUAUAGAAUUGACUACAUAUAUAUUUUUUCCUUCAGUAGUUGAUAGAAUUGACUACUGGCCCCAUGUGGGUCUGGAAUUUUUUUUUUACUAAAGUCCUGCUUUUCUUUCCCCAGUCAGCACCAGGGCUUUGGUGCUGUAAGACCAAGGGCCUUACCAAAUGCUCCGAGGAGCUGACUAUAGUGAAGCACACCCACGGAUCCCAGCGGUGCCUCCAGAAUGCAAGGCCAAGGGCCUUACCAAACGCUCCAAGGAGCUGGCUACUGCGAGGACCACCCGGGAAGGAACACACCGGCCAUGUUGGAAAACAGACCUUUAUUAGUCUGGCCAGACGGCACUCCCGAAGCAAAAUAGCUCAGAGAGAUUUGAUCACUGUGCUGAUAUGGAAAUAUCUGCUUCCAUGAGAUACCUAAAAACCAUGGAACAAGAAAAGCCUCAUAAUAAUGUUUGUUCUUGAGCAGGAGGGAUCAAACUCAGGACCUUGCACUCAAGAGGCAGGCUGUGGCACCACUGAACUAAAUCCCUGGCCUGGCAUAAGCCCCUGCAGGAUGGAAGCACCUUUUUUUGGUGGCACUUCAACUCAUAUUUUCUCACUUUCAAUUCAUCUUUAUGACUCCUUGAAGCCAGAUCUAACUCCACAGUAACCAGGAGCCUGACUGUGUCAGAGCAGCAAAACCCUCAACUUUGAGCACAACGAUCACUGAUAUGGUCUGCAUAAAACCUUCUGCCUCUAGCUACAGCCAUGUGCAGAGUCCUGGGGGCAAAAAAAGCCACCGCCUUAAAUCUUUUCACUCAGAAAUUAUAAAGAUAAAAUACACAGAUGAAAAAGACUAAAUAAAAAAACCAAUAAAUUAAUAAAAGACAAACCCAACUCAUUUUAUUUCAUUAUGGAUAUUCAGAUAAGAGCCCACCUGACAAAAUUCAAAUUCAAAAAUGAAGCUAGUAAAUUAUAAAUUGAUUUAUCAUUUGUGAAGGUGAAAGCAUAGAGACAAACAGUGUCCCCAUAUCAGAAUCACUUGUCUUUUCAAAAUAUGUAGACAAAAACCAAACUGGACAGACAGAGCCACAGUGAGCAGCAGGGAUAGAGUUCUGCUGUGCAGAAAGGACAGUUGCUGACUGUGUGCACCUAAAGCCAUAAUGAGUAAUAGCAUUGUUGCCAGUUAUCUGAGGAGUUUCCAAGUUCAGUCCCUUCUCAUCCUUUGUUGGCUGAGAGGGGAAGUCAGUUCUUACUCACUACCCCUCAAACAUGUUGCUGGUAUUUGCACUGUCACCUCCAUUCAGGGUAACAAAGUGUGCUGCGAUUUGCACAAAUGGUCCCAGAAGUUUUGAGAUCAGAAGUUUCUCACAGGAGUCCAAAAAGAAAACCUUAAGAAUUCUCAAGACAUUGAUUUUUCUCCUAUAAAAAUCAGAGGCCUAAAGAAAUGGAAUUGUCUCCAACUUAAAAACACAGCAAAACAACUGCAGAAUAAUAAAGUAUCUGUGUGAUCAAAUAAGUGAAAAAGGAGAUAAAAAUUUUAAUAAAGAUUAUUUUCUAUCAUUAACAUCAAGAAGUCAAAUACAAGUGAACUGCACACUAAAUAUUUGUGUUGAAUAUCUAUUUGUUCUCUUACUUCAAAGGUCAUUUGUAAUUUGUAUUUAACAGACAUUUAACAGUUUUUAU
Long non-coding RNA from Heterocephalus glaber (naked mole-rat), 1927 nucleotides. The record is from Ensembl. Lineage: Eukaryota; Metazoa; Chordata; Mammalia; Rodentia; Bathyergidae.